Molecule: ribosomal RNA, 660 nt
Filed under: Priestia megaterium
Lineage: Bacteria; Bacillati; Bacillota; Bacilli; Caryophanales; Bacillaceae
Description: bacterial SSU rRNA
Rfam family: Bacterial small subunit ribosomal RNA
Source: RNAcentral
GAACUGAUUAGAAGCUUGCUUCUAUGACGUUAGCGGCGGACGGGUGAGUAACACGUGGGCAACCUGCCUGUAAGACUGGGAUAACUUCGGGAAACCGAAGCUAAUACCGGAUAGGAUCUUCUCCUUCAUGGGAGAUGAUUGAAAGAUGGUUUCGGCUAUCACUUACAGAUGGGCCCGCGGUGCAUUAGCUAGUUGGUGAGGUAACGGCUCACCAAGGCAACGAUGCAUAGCCGACCUGAGAGGGUGAUCGGCCACACUGGGACUGAGACACGGCCCAGACUCCUACGGGAGGCAGCAGUAGGGAAUCUUCCGCAAUGGACGAAAGUCUGACGGAGCAACGCCGCGUGAGUGAUGAAGGCUUUCGGGUCGUAAAACUCUGUUGUUAGGGAAGAACAAGUACGAGAGUAACUGCUUGUACCUUGACGGUACCUAACCAGAAAGCCACGGCUAACUACGUGCCAGCAGCCGCGGUAAUACGUAGGUGGCAAGCGUUAUCCGGAAUUAUUGGGCGUAAAGCGCGCGCAGGCGGUUUCUUAAGUCUGAUGUGAAAGCCCACGGCUCAACCGUGGAGGUCAUUGGAAACUGGGAACUUGAGUGCAGGAAGAGAAAAGCGGAAUUCCACGUGGAGCGGUGAAAUGCGUAGAGAUGUGGAGGAACACC